RNAcentral lists this non-coding RNA (30 nucleotides) under Rattus norvegicus (Norway rat). The record is from RNAcentral. Lineage: Eukaryota; Metazoa; Chordata; Mammalia; Rodentia; Muridae.
UGGGCUGAGGCGAGAAUAAACAAUAGACAC